GAUGACGGCCAUGCCACCCUGAACAAGCCCGAUCCUGUCUGAUCUCGGAAGCUAAGCAGGGUCAGGCCUGGAUAGUACUUGGAUGGGAGACCACCUAGAAAGACAAGAUGCUGUAGGCA
This 119-nucleotide ribosomal RNA is filed under the name Pteropus alecto (black flying fox). Lineage: Eukaryota; Metazoa; Chordata; Mammalia; Chiroptera; Pteropodidae. The record is from RNAcentral.